This 250-nucleotide ribosomal RNA is filed under the name uncultured bacterium. RNAcentral's name for it is "partial 16S ribosomal RNA". It matches the Rfam family "Bacterial small subunit ribosomal RNA", at positions 524 to 772 of the family's 1533-position model. The record is from RNAcentral.
UACGGAGGGUGCAAGCGUUGUCCGGAAUCAUUGGGCGUAAAGCGCACGUAGGCGGCUCUUUAAGUCUCUUGGUGAAAGGCUGGGGCUCAACCCCAUGCAUGCCGGGGAUACUGGGGAGCUUGAGACAGGUAGAGGCCAGCGGAAUUCCGGGUGUAGCGGUGGAAUGCGUAGAGAUCCGGAAGAACACCGGAGGCGAAGGCGGCUGGCUGGACCUGAUCUGACGCUGAGGUGCGAAAGCGUGGGGAGCGAA